GUUUGGGAUAAGGGUAUUAUUGGAAUUCUCUGGAUAGUUGUUACUCGUUUAUAAUGUUUAUGAUUUUUGUAAAAAUUAAGUGAUGCUGAAAAGAGGGAUGACGAGGGAGUAGCAAGUGAAAGUACCAUUGUACCCAUCACAUGGAGAAAUAUUUUCUCUUUUAUUUUUGAGAGGAGAUAUUACAGAAUACAUACAUGCUUGCGCGCACUGUAUUCGUCUCUCUCUCUCUCAUCUACCUCCUCCACCACCACCACCACCGCCUCAGCAUCCUGCAUGCAAAUUGGCCUUCUCUUCUGCUCUAUCUCCGUGAUCGCCGCAGCUACCGACCGCCGCGGACUGACGCCGUUUCAGGGGGCCUGUUGCCCCCGGACAUCUGUUGUUUUCGCUAGGGUUCUUCCGAUUUUUCCAUUGCUCAACCAUAGGUGGAAAUAAGUUGGAAUUGGAGGGGCAUGGCUCCGGGGCGCAGGCGCGGAGCGAAGGGGGUUAAGACGAAGACCGAGUUGAGCUUGGGCGAGCUCGUUCUCGCCAAAGUUAAGGGUUUCCCCGCUUGGCCUGCCAAGAUAAGCAGACCUGAAGAUUGGCAGCGUGUGCCUGAUCCUAGAAAAUGCUUCGUCCAGUUCUUUGGUACAGCAGAAAUAGCUUUUGUUGCACCUGGGGAUAUUCAGACAUUCACGAAUGAAGCGAAAAAUAAAUUGUCAGCUCGAUGCCUGGGUAAGACAGUUAAAUACUUUGCCCAAGCGGUGAAAGAAAUAUGUGAGGAAUUUGAAGAGUUGCAGCAAAAAAGAUCAAGUGGUGUGAGAGAUGAUAACUGUACACAAACUCAUCCACCCGAGGCACAUUCUGUUGAUCCAAUGGUAGACGAGGCCUUGGAUAUUAAUCAAAACAACGGGAUUGUGCCAGAAUGCAAGUUGGAGAUGAAAGAGUCUGAUGAUCUGGGCUCUGGCUUAGAGCAUUGUCCGCACAAACAAGAUGAGGUGGAAUGUCAAGACGUGAAGCCUUAUUUGUCAGAUGACGUGAAUCGUAGGUUGUCCCCUCCUGUAUCUUUGCGAAAGAGGAAUAAGUUCUCUUCAGACCACAACAAUGUUGUCAAGGAUUCACUAUCAGUGUCUAGCCCUUCACACCAUUCCCUUAAGAAGGAAGAUCCUCUUGAUAUCAAAGUGAAGGGCAGAUAUUCUGAUGGUAGCCAGAAUGAAUUGACAAAUGGACACAGAUCGAAGCUGGCAAUGGGGUCAAAGAAAAAAUCUCCGGGUGCAGGACUUGGAAGUGGUGGAUCAGCUGUUUCUUAUGAUCAUGGUGAAGUGAUGAAAAGAAAAUUUGCUUCAGGUGGCAGCAUGAAGCUUUCAUCGCCUGAUAUUCCAAAGUUACGUGUAGAUGUUAGUAGUCAAAAGGGGGAAAAAAGGUUGAUGAAAGAAAAAAGGCACUCUGAGGCAGCCCAUGAUGGUCAACAGGAUGCUAAAGUGCAUUUUGAGUCCCAAAAUGAUGCUAUGUCCCGGAAAAAGAUGAAGGUUCACCAUGGGUGUGAAAAGACAGGGUCUCGGACAAAUGGAGCAUCAUCUCCUCCUGCCAAAAUAUCAAAAACCGCUGAUACUGGAAAGGACACUAACAUGAUAAAAGCUCAAAUAAACUGCAAAAGUGAUUCUAGAAGUCCUAAUAGUCUUGAUGACAAAAUGGCUAGUAAAGAGCCUAAAAGGUUUACAACAGUUGGGAAGCCUGAGGUCUUACAGCCCAUUAGGCCACCAAUUAUUAAUAACUCGGAAUCCGACGAGGACGAUCUUCCCCCAAUAAAGCGUCAUCGCCGGGAACUGGAAACAAUGUCCGGCUCUGCCUUGAUUUCUGAAAAUAGAUUGGGAAUUUCUGUAUCACAUAAGACCGACUCGGUACUUCCUAGUAAAGUCAUAUCUCCAGUUGCGCAGUUGCCAAUGAAGCGUAGAUCUGUCCGCAUAUGUGAUGAUGAUGAUGAUGAGUUGCCUAAAACUCCAGUUCACGGAGGAACUACCAGUAAGGUGUCUGCGAUUCCACGCGUGUCAGAUUCAAAAAAGAAAUCUAUAACGCAUGGCGAUAAAUCUGUCUAUGAUCCACAGGUGUUAAGAAAUCCAGGAGAAGUUGAUAAUAAUGGGUUAAAAGAACAGGUACAGUCUAAUCGAGUGAUGAAUAAGCUGUUAUCUCCUGCUGCUCAACAAGGUAUAGAGAAGAGGAUGCGGGAAUCAUCAGCUGCACAUGUAUCUCCUAGUCCACGGCAGUUGGACUCUGAGAAGUUAGCCUCAAUGGAGGUUAAACCAGUUUCAGUUUCUCCUAAAAGGUCCCCCCAAUCUGUUGGUGGUGGGAGAGUGUCGAGAGAACUGGAAAGCAAGCAAUCCAACAAGGCACCUAGUAAUGAUUUUAGGAAAAAAACUCCAGUAGGAGACAGCAAGAAUUCAGCAUCGUCUGAUAGGUCAAACUUAUUUCCUAAUCAAACACUAAGUGAAAGAAGCAAGCAACCAUCUUCUGGAGAUAAAAAGAAAACAACUCCAAAAUUAGAUUCACGGAUCAAUGACUCUGUGGCUGUGGCUUCAAAUGAAAACAUCACAUCAGUUCGGGAAAGGCUGAGUGCUAGCAAAGACAACAAAACAAGUCACACAGUUGACUCAAAAACUUCAGACUCCGUGAUGUCAAUGAAACAUCUUAUUGCUGCCGCUCAGGCAAGAAAGAAACAGACACACUUUCAGAAUACUUAUGGAAACCCUUUUCUUUUCUCAAUUCCUGACAUUGACAUGGCUGGUCGGGUACCGAGUCCUGCACCUGCUCUGCUGGCGUAUGAAGCAAGCAACACACUCCAACUGGAUGUUCUAGGAGCUCAUCCCACUUCUCCUUGCUCUAAUCUUCAUCAAAUCCCACCUAAUAAUCAACAUGAGAAUGAUGAACUUGAGGAGAGGAGGGUAAGCUCUGGUCAUCAGGGCACUGGGAGCUCUCUCAGCGGGGGUACUGAGGCAGCUGUUGCUCGUGACGCAUUUGAAGGGAUGAUAGAGACACUGUCAAGGACCAAAGAAAGUAUUGCACGUGCAACUCGACUUGCAAUUGAUUGUGCAAAGUAUGGGCUCGCCAAUGAGGUUGUGGAGCUUCUUAUACAGAAAUUAGAAAAUGAGCCAAGUUUACAUCGCAGAGUGGAUCUCUUUUUCCUUGUUGACUCAAUAACCCAGUGCUCUCACACUCAGAGAGGGGCCUCAUACGUCUCUACUGUUCAAGCUGCAUUACCCCGCCUCAUUGGGGCUGCUGCUCCUACUGGUGCAGGUGCUCAGGAAAAUCGUCGUCAGUGUCGUAAGGUCUUGCGCUUGUGGCUCGAGAGGAAAAUCUUGCCGGAAUCCGUUCUUCGCCGCUACAUGGAUGACUUUGGAGUGGUAAAUGAUGAUACAUCAAUCCCACUAAGACGGCCUUCCCGAGCUGAACGAGCUAUUGAUGAUCCUAUUAGAGAAAUGGAAGGCAUGGUUGUUGAUGAAUAUGGAAGCAAUGCUAUGUUUCAGUUACCUGGAUUUCUGUCAGCAAGUGUGUUUGAAGAAGAGGAAGAUGAGGAUGCUACUAAUAUAAAUUUAUGCCUGAAAGAUGAUGAUGUGUCACCUUCCAAGCAUACACCUGGUAGCAGAGAUCCUGAGAAUCAUUCUGUUACUCCUAGUGAUCGGCGCCAUUGCAUAUUGGAGGAAGUUGAUGGUGAGCUUGAAAUGGAAGAUGUUUCUGGACACCAGAAGGAUGAGAGACCAGUGAUGACCAAUGGCUCUGUUGAGCUUCCUUCAUUGGAGCUCAAUCCAGAUAGUAUGCAUGAAUCAUCUUCAAACACCUCCACCGAGUGGCUUCCAUCUCCUGACGGCUCUCCUCCACUACCACCUGGAUCUCCACCUCUGACUCCACAGCUUCCAACUUCACCACCUCCAUCAUCACCACCUCCACCUCCACCUCCAUCUUCCCCCCCACCUCCACCUCCACCACCCACCAUAUACCAACAUCCUUUUCCACAAGCACCUGUUGGUCCACCUCAGACACCUGUUGGUCCUCCACCACAAGCUGGUCCAAUUCCACCUGUUGGACCUCCACCGAGACCUGCUGGUCCUUCUCCUCCUAUUGGACCUCCACUUAGACCUGCCGGUCCUUCUCCACCUGUUGUACCUCCUCCCCCACAUCUUCGUCCUCCUCCACCACCUCUUGGACCUCAUCCUCCACCUUUUGGUCCUCCUCCCCAUCUGGGUCCUCCUGCACCAGUAAUUUCCCAGCAAUCAUUUCCUUCUCAACCUCCAUUGGUUUCUCAUAACAAGACUCCACUUCCGUCACUGCCACUAUCCCCAAGAUCAUCUUAUCAACCUCAUCCUUUACCACAUGAAGUUGGUGCCACACCCACUGGAAAUCAACAGACCCAUAUGGUUUCUACUACUCAUGGGUCUCAUAUGGAUCCAUCUGCUAGAGGUGAAGUACCGCCAAAACAAUCAUCUUGUUUUCCUCCGUCUGGGGUCAGCAUUGCACGCGAACAUGUUGGCUAUAAUUCGUCGAGGCAUGUGGAAUAUGGAGAGGAUGAUGCUUAUAUAAAUCCCCAAGCUUCACAGCAUAGGCAGCAGUAUCUGCCUGGUAGUGUGCCUUUCACACAAAGGCCUGUGCUUCCUGAACUCCCAUCUCAACGACCACCUAGCCAUUUCCCUUAUCCAAAUUCAGCUCAACAACAUCAAUACCCCUCUUAUUCAUUACCAAACUUUGCCGAUGGUCCAAGGAGAUAUAUAGCUGAUGAGCACUGGCGGAAGCAAGGAAAUGACUUUAAAGUGGAUCAUCCUCGUGGUGGGUGGAUGCCAGGAGGAAGGCCGUGUUCAGGUCCAUCUUUUUCACAAGAAGGUUACCACGAAAGGCCUCCUGCAAGUACCAUAAGUUAUCAGCACUCUGCCCCAAAUACUCUACCUUCGUCUGGUCAAGUGCCAGUUCAUGGUGUUCCAAUAAUGGCGUCUAGACCAAACAUGUCCACCAACUGGAGGCCAACAUAGAAUUCCAAUUCAAGGUUUAUGACUAUUGUGUCAUUUGGAGUCUGUAGCAAAUGGAAGUACAAGUAAAUUGGUUGAAGUCUGACAGCACAGAAAGAUGCAUCAUCCUGGAAAAUCCUCGAAGGAGCAAAGGAUUGAGAACUAUUGUUGCUGGAGGAAGUAGUUCUAGCCAUCAUCAGCAGAAAAUUUGUGGUACCAUAGAAGAAGGUUUACUUAAGGUAUUUUCAAGUCAUACAUAAAUGUGCGAUGGGCACUAAUGUGCUCCAACAGAGAGGUGGCUUUUGAUCGGGUUAGAAUGGAAUUGGUGGGGCAGUUGUCAACGGGACUGUAUACUAGAAAAUUUCCUGACAACAUACAUUCAAGGGUGCACAACUAAACUGUAAGCCCUUUUUUUGCUUGCUAUACCAAAUGCUUGUAAUUAUACAAUACAUCUCAUGAAGUAAGUUAGUGGCUAGUACAGUUAAAAGAGCCUGCUAAUUCUGACUUUUUUUCUUCUUUUUUUCCUGCAAUCACAUUUCUAAUCUCUUUGACAGAGAUCUUGAGUGCAUGUAUUUUGUUUCUGAUGCACUUGUGCAUACCAAGUAGAGCAUAUCCAACAUUCAAUUUGUAAAUCAUGUCUUUGUUGCCUAUCUUACACUCUUUUGGAAACAAGUUUUAUAACAUGAGCAUUCUUUAA
RNA transcript from Salvia miltiorrhiza (redroot sage), 5664 nucleotides. It is a transcript of the gene named ENHANCER OF AG-4 protein 2-like, with no coding region annotated. The transcript is spliced from 13 exons. The record is from RefSeq and is a predicted model, not a curated record. Lineage: Eukaryota; Viridiplantae; Streptophyta; Magnoliopsida; Lamiales; Lamiaceae.